This 155-nucleotide unclassified non-coding RNA is filed under the name uncultured Xylariales. RNAcentral describes it as "sequence contains ITS1". The record is from RNAcentral. Lineage: Eukaryota; Fungi; Ascomycota; Sordariomycetes; Xylariales.
CUGAGUCGUAAAAAACUCCCAACCCAUGUGAAUUUACCUUUGUUGCCUCGGCGGUACCCGCUCGGUGCUUUAUUAAAGUUGCCUUGUGGUUCCGCCGGUGGACUAUUCAACUCUUGUUAUUUUAUCGAAAUCUGAGCGUCUUAUUAAAUAAGUCA